UGUCCUUUAAAUAGGGACCCGUAUGAAUGGCGACAUGAGAAAGAAACUGUCUCUUUAGGCCAGUUGGUGAAACUGAUUUCCCUGUACAAAAGCAGGCAUGACAAAGCAAGACAAAAAGACCCUGUGAAGCUUAAAACUAACCGUCAACUUAUGACACUCCCUUUUAGUUGGGGCAACUAUAGAGAAACUAGACCUCAAACCAUAUCACCAAGACCAACAAGUCUAAGUGAAUAUCAACACCGACCCAGCAUGGCUGAUUAAAGAACCAAGUUACUCCAGGGAUAACAGCGCAACAUUCUUGAAGAGUUCAUAUCAACAAGAAUACCUACGACCUCGAUGUUGGAUCAGGAAAUCCUGAUGGUGCAAGAGCUAUCAAGGGUCCGUUUGUUCAACGGUUAAUAAU
RNAcentral lists this ribosomal RNA (403 nucleotides) under Tropicagama temporalis (Swamplands lashtail). RNAcentral describes it as "Gowidon temporalis (Swamplands lashtail) 16S rRNA". It matches the Rfam family "Bacterial large subunit ribosomal RNA", at positions 1970 to 2594 of the family's 2925-position model. Lineage: Eukaryota; Metazoa; Chordata; Lepidosauria; Squamata; Agamidae. The record is from RNAcentral.